Felis catus (domestic cat) is the source of this 519-nucleotide long non-coding RNA. RefSeq lists it as uncharacterized. The transcript has 3 exons. The record is from RefSeq and is a predicted model, not a curated record. Lineage: Eukaryota; Metazoa; Chordata; Mammalia; Carnivora; Felidae.
GCCCCUCAACCCUCCAAGGCCACGGGAGGGGCUCCAGGGGCUCCAUGACGCCACUCACACUUACUGUCACCCUAGAAAGAUGGAAGCUGGUGAAAACCGAAACUAGCCACAUCUCUGCCUGCCCAAGGUAAAUUGAGAAGUGCCUCUUCUGUAAGGAGUAGCAUCCAUCUAAAUCUGGACAGAAACUUUUGUGUGCAGUCUAACGCGGGGGGAUUUAUGCCCCUGAAACCACUUUCUUUACAUUUCAGGCAAAAGAACCCGCAGGCAAAUCAUCGUGAUGGGAACCAAAACUACCCCCUCAAGCAACAACGACUGCCCUGAGCCAGCAAGACCCCACGUGACCUCAAGACAACAAUGACCUGACCUUCGCUUUCCACCUGCAGUACUCUCUGACCUCUGUCCCACAUUUUCCUUACAAACCCAGGAGUAUUUUCGGCACUUUGGAGAUUGUAUUUCAGAGGGUCCACUGUCUUCCUGGUGUUGCCCUUCCCUGAAAUAAAUUCCUUUCUUGUUCCGCCA